Molecule: ribosomal RNA, 301 nt
Filed under: uncultured bacterium
Lineage: Bacteria
Description: partial 16S ribosomal RNA
Rfam family: Bacterial small subunit ribosomal RNA
Source: RNAcentral
CAGUCGCCGCGGGAAUACGGAGGAUCCAAGCGUUAUCCGGAUUUAUUGGGUUUAAAGGGUGCGUAGGUGGCUUUUUAAGUCAGGGGUGAAAGACGGUAGCUUAACUAUCGCAGUGCCUUUGAUACUGAAGAGCUUGAAUGAACUAGAGGUAGGCGGAAUGUGACAAGUAGCGGUGAAAUGCAUAGAUAUGUCACAGAACACCAAUUGCGAAGGCAGCUUACUAUGGUUUUAUUGACACUGAGGCACAAAAGCGUGGGGAUCAAACAGGAUUAGAUACCCCAGUAGUCCCUGUCUCUUAUAC